Schistosoma margrebowiei is the source of this 45-nucleotide non-coding RNA. The record is from Rfam. Lineage: Eukaryota; Metazoa; Platyhelminthes; Trematoda; Strigeidida; Schistosomatidae.
AUCCAGCUGAUGAGUCCUAAAUAGGACGAAAUGAGCAUCAUAGAU